Molecule: long non-coding RNA, 439 nt
Filed under: Chinchilla lanigera (long-tailed chinchilla)
Lineage: Eukaryota; Metazoa; Chordata; Mammalia; Rodentia; Chinchillidae
Description: lncRNA (ENSCLAG00000023840.1)
Source: RNAcentral
ACAUCUGACGCGGGUUGUGACACUGAAGAUGACCUUUGGCCGAAGAGGUUACAGCAGAUGAGAAAUAUAACUGUGCAAACAGAAGCACUGUAAUUUUAAAAAGCACUAGAUACCAAUGGGAUCAUCUGGCAGUGCGGGCCUAGGAAGAUGAAAUGCAGAUUUUGAGGUGUAAAGAAACAAGGACAGCGGAGGGGUGGAGGCAUCUCUGCCUUCGUACUUUCACAAAAGAUGAAGAACAGAAUCGCGCCACACUGUGGACAGAUUCCGGUUCUCAGGCACCUCCACUGGAAGGCUGUGCCUCAGAAGCAUUGCCUGGGACGGAGGGUCCUAUAAGCCUGCAGACCUGUGGAGUUCGGACUCACCGAGAACCUGAUGGUCAGUUGAGGGUGGGGGUGCUGUUGGUGUGUUGCUCUCAUGGUCAUUGUUUAAAGGUGCCCAC